This 350-nucleotide long non-coding RNA is filed under the name Olea europaea (common olive). RNAcentral's name for it is "long non-coding RNA (OEUR_LNC005393)". The record is from RNAcentral. Lineage: Eukaryota; Viridiplantae; Streptophyta; Magnoliopsida; Lamiales; Oleaceae.
AAAAAAAAUACACUAUUCUAAAAAUUAUUUUCAAAACAAGUGUGUUUCUUUAACAUUAAAAAGUCAUUUAUCCAAAAAUAAUUUGUUACUCAUUUUUCAGCUUCACACAAAACGUCAACUGCAUAUUCAUUAUGCAGUAUCGUUUCGCAUUGGCCACAAAAACGGGACCGUUCUAAAAAAUUCGCCGUUCUCUCUCUGUCAGUUCACUCUGCUUCUCUAUUUAUACACGGUACGUGCUUCGUGAACAGAGCAACACGUCCAAAAGAAAUUUGUGAUACACAAACAGAGCAAAAAUGACUGUCCUCAACAACGGCAAUACGGAAUCGUAUGUCAAAAUUCCCAAAAUNNNN